GGUGUGAAUUGCAGAAUCCCGUGAACCAUCGAGUCUUUGAACGCAAGUUGCGCCCGAAGCCAUUAGGCCAAGGGCACGUCUGCCUGGGCGUCACGC
RNAcentral lists this ribosomal RNA (96 nucleotides) under Orlaya grandiflora. Its description in RNAcentral is "partial 5.8S ribosomal RNA". It matches the Rfam family "5.8S ribosomal RNA", at positions 64 to 154 of the family's 154-position model. From Rfam's summary of the family: 5.8S ribosomal RNA (5.8S rRNA) is a component of the large subunit of the eukaryotic ribosome. It is transcribed by RNA polymerase I as part of the 45S precursor that also contains 18S and 28S rRNA. The record is from RNAcentral. Lineage: Eukaryota; Viridiplantae; Streptophyta; Magnoliopsida; Apiales; Apiaceae.